This 241-nucleotide ribosomal RNA is filed under the name uncultured Parachlamydiaceae bacterium. Its description in RNAcentral is "partial 16S ribosomal RNA". It matches the Rfam family "Bacterial small subunit ribosomal RNA", at positions 95 to 322 of the family's 1533-position model. Lineage: Bacteria; Pseudomonadati; Chlamydiota; Chlamydiia; Parachlamydiales; Parachlamydiaceae. The record is from RNAcentral.
AUGGCGGAAGGGUUAGUAAUACAUGGGUAACGUACCUUUAACAUUGGGAUAACAGUUGGAAACGACUGCUAAUACUAAAUGAGGUGAUGAUAGGGAGUCCUAAUAUCAUCAAAGUGGGGGAUCGUAAGACCUCGCGGUUAAAGAGCGGCCCAUGCGAUAUCAGCUAGUUGGUGAGGUAAAGGCUCACCAAGGCUAAGACGUCUAGGCGGAUUGAGAGAUUGACCGCCAACACUGGGACUGC